CGCGGGUUCGUUAGUCGUUCCUGGGAACGCCAGCCCAAGUAUGGCUGUCGAUGGUUGAACGACGACCUCGCUGAACUCGCUGGCGAACUUCCGGCGCUGUUCAGCAGACUGGUACUCCAUCUUGAGAAUACAGAGGAAUUAUGCAAUAUCCAAUGACCGGGCAGAAUUGCCAAACGCUAUCAUUACUCUUUUAUACCGAUAUGGGAGACUGCAUUCAUCCAAUGGAACACGAUUCUUACUCAACGGUAUUACAAUACUCAUGAACCAGUCGCACGUAAUUUUUUCUUAAGUCUCUCCAAUACUAUAAUUGACACCGAGAACAAAAGCAUAAGAUUAACGCUAAAAAGUAGUAAAACCAUAAGAACACGCGAAACGUGUUUCCUUCCCAACGGGGCACGAAGUUGGAAUGCUAACUACCAAAUGCUAACUACACCAACAUGUAUGAAAUGUCAACGCGAGACAGCUGUCAAGCUUUUAUUUCCAUUGAAAAGUUCCCGGGCAACGUAUUAUUCGACUUGCAAAACCGUCGAUCAAAGUCUUUCCAGAGUAAUCCAUCUCAAAUCCGUAUCAAGUAACAAAUCCGCCUGUAAAAUGAGUCCAAGACACGGUAUCACCGUCUUUAAACUUGAAACUACCUAUUUCGCCUGGAUUUGUAAUCCCUUAGUAAUUAUAUCCACGUUAAUUUCUAUUCAUUCCAAGCAUCUGAUCAACUAAAUUCUCGAAUAUGUUAAACUUGUCUCUACGUUUUUGUUUAUGUAAAUUCUUAUGCAUGGAGGAAACAUAGUAGAGAAAGUGAUAUAGGUUCAAUCGAUACAAAAUGUAACUAUGUUAUAUUUUUGUAUUAUUUUUAACUUGGUAUUAAGUUAUUUUUUUUCUUAAAUAUCAAUUUUUAAAUAUAAACUUUUCAAAAAUGA
Molecule: long non-coding RNA, 914 nt
Organism: Apis laboriosa (Himalayan honeybee)
Lineage: Eukaryota; Metazoa; Arthropoda; Insecta; Hymenoptera; Apidae
Exons: 2
Source: RefSeq, a predicted model, not a curated record